ACAAAUGACAUAAAAAUGUCCAACUCGGAUUACCUUCCCGACUACCCACUCAACUCAGACUUAGUGAAGAGAUUAAAGUCUGCCCUGGAUGCCAAAGAUGAGGAGAGAGUGAGGGAUUUAAUCUGCACUGAAGUCACGCCCGUGGACGCUGUGAUAGAAUUGGCCAAUGACGACUGGAUGAAAGACCCCUCGGCUCAGCUGCCUACCGGCAUGCUGCUAGGGAGUGGGGUGAAGGAAAGUUGGCUUUAGACAUUAAAACAGGAAGAAUAAAGACCAGAAAAGGGUGUGAAAGUAACUCCACUGGAAGGCCUGGGGCUGCUGCACCAGUUGGUAGUGAUGUUAUUAUCCCAGAGUCCAAUCAGACUUAGUACAUGGCCAUUUACAGAAACGCUUCAGGUAAAAAAGGGAAGAAGGAAAUUGACCAGGUCAACAACGUGCACUGGCAUAUUUAAGAAAGAGUGCACGGAAUCUCACAAUGUCCACAAGAGUAAUGACUUCCUGCCCCUGUCUGUCCACUUGGACACUUCCAGAAGGAAGCCAGACAUUUGCCAAUGACCUAGGAAAGAAUCUGAACAUUUGCCAUUCCCCAAGAACAAGAGAAAAUGGCAGGGUGUCCUGCAGCCUCAAAAACUCUACCUCUUGGCUUGAAGGCUUGGAAAGUUGUGGCCAUAGAGAAAGAGCCUGGCCCUGCCACAAAGCCCACCAGCUCCAGGUUUCAGCCUCAGCUGGAUUAAUCCUUGGAGGCUUCUAGGAAAAAGAAAAUCACUAGUCAACUCAAUGGCAAGAAGAAAAGAUCCCAAUGUCACGUGAAAAUAAUAGUCACCAUUCAAACACUACCAUCUGGAUACCCCAUUAUAAUUUCAAGGUGGAUUUUACCUUUUUCAUCUCAUUUGAUCCAGAGGCAAAAACUCCCUCUCAUUAGCUACCUACACUAUAGGACUCAAUUAUAAAGAACUCAUGUUUGUGUCUCCUGCAGACAAAACAUUAUGCUUAUUAUUUAAGUCUCCAAAAUAUUCUUUGCAAACGUAUAUUUUAAUCCAGUUGACUACCUGGCUAGUAUUAGAGAAAUUGAGUCUAUUCACUCAGUUAGCCAGACACAAGCCAGGCCUCCUCUCCUGCUUGGAUUCUUGCCUUCCUUUUCUUAAAUUCACUUCAUGGUCUGCAAUAUAAGACCACAGCAAUUACAUUUGUUUAGUAUUCUGCCACGGUCCACCCACACAAAUGAGCUUCCUCCGUCAAAUAAGUACACCAUUUGAAAAACUGAAAAUAUUAAAUGUACUGGCUUGGAGAAAGUUAUAUUCAUCAGAAUCCCUCUCUUUCAAGAAGGGCACUGUAUUUGUUCAGAAGCAUUUCCUUGACCAGCACCCUGGAAUAGACGUUGAAACCCUACGGGCCCUGGCAGUGCACAGAACAACAAUGAAGAAAAAAGAGAGAGGAUUUCCAUGGCUGUACCAGAGAGAAAGGAAACAGAAAUGGAAGUGAAGAGUGGAAUAAGGCUGUGCAAACUGUGACGGAACUCUUCACAUCCUCAGUGUGAUUGCCAGAUACACUAAGUGAUGCUAUUAGUGGGCUAGCUUGAAAACAAACCAACCAACCAAGAAAAAUCAAAGAAGCCAAUUGUGGCUGCCAUUGUGAGAGGAGAGCGGAAGGUACACAAUGCAAGCAAACACAGAGAUCAAGGACAACACCAGGAAGCAAAGCACAGGGGCUCUCUGGAGUUCUCGGAGGGACUCUCAGUUCUACAAAGCCAAGAGUCCCAAUGAGAAAGGGAACUUAAAUGGACAUCUGUCUGACACGAGUUAUUCUUACUGUACAGACAUGCUUUGAAUGUUUUCAAAUAAUUUGCUGCAUUUAUGCCAUCUAAAUUUGGGUAUAAAUAUCAAUGCAUCAAAACAACCAACAACCUCUGAACUUAAAAACAAGAGAAAGAAACUUCUAGUGCCCCAAACGGGGAACCCAUAGCAGUGAGUAGCUGUUUCAGCCAUUCGAUUCACAAGGACAACAGAUUCCUAUGGGCCUGGGAUUUGAAUGCUGCCUUGUGGCAUUGAUUGAAUUAGCCUGUUGCUCUGACCUGUGGAGACCUUUUGGAAUCCUGGCUGUGUCAUGCUCCAUGCCACGCAUCUGAUAGCUACCCUUCCACAAAUUCAUUCAAAUCACAAUAUGUAUCACACAAAAUGGGGUAAGUUCAGGGAUAAAAGCCAUUCCACAUGCAUUGCAAGGGUCACGGAGUCCAUGGCUGCCUGUCACAGCAAUGGUUCUCAACCUUGGCUGCAUGUUAGAAGCACCUGGGGGUACUCUUUUUCCCUUUUUUUUUUUUUUUUUUUUUUUGAGAUAGAGUCUUGCUCUGUUGCCCAGGCUGGAGUACAGUGGCAUGAUCUCGGCUCACUGCAACCUCUGCAGGUUCAAGCGAUUCUCCUGCCUCAGCCUCCCAAGUAGCCAGGACUACAGGCGUGCACCACCUUGCCCAGCUAAUUUUUGUAUUUUUAGUAGAGACAAGGUUUCACUAUGUUGGCCAGGCUGAUCUCAAACUCCUGACCUCAGGUGAUCCACCUGCAUCAGCCUCCCAAAGUGCUGGGAUUACAGGCGUGAGCCGCCACGCCCAGCCACCUAGGGACUUUUUAACAGUCCUGUUGCCCAGGCCACACCUCCAACCCAUUAUGCCUGAAACUACCAGGUAGGCUCCAGGCAUCGUGUUUUUUAAAGUUCCUCAGGUGAUUCAUUUUUGCAGCCAAGGUUUGAACCACUGCUGUUGAGGCAUCAUGUGUAUUAUUUCUCCAGUUUGCAUUAUUUAGCCAGAGUUUCCUAAAGAAAGACUCACACUGUUUCCAUCUUUUCCAAGAGGCUGUCAUGAAACUGGCAUUGCAGGUUGUUGCCUACACCCCCUCCGCAUAUUUAUGAUAACCCUGUCACAAAAGAAAAUUCUAGUCCACCCUGAUGUGUUCCUAGUGACUCACAGAGCUCCAGGUGACUCCACUCUGUUUCCUAAAUACUCCCAAACAAUCUUUUUCAUAAUCCGUGUAGGGAUCUUGCCCAGGUCUAAUGUCAAGAUCAUGAGUCUGAGGAAUCCAAAUUCUCUUUCCAUUUGAAAACUAAACCUCUAGUCUUCUGGUCCUUCUUUUGUUUUAUCACAAUUCCUCAAAGACUUUGACAAUUGUUCAGCAACUUCAUACACAAAUUCACUCUUGAAAGAAGCUGCAUUUGUAUAUGUACUAAAGUUGGCAGAAAAGAUAAAACCUGAGUUGUAUCUUGAGGCUAUGUAUUGGCUUUGACUAAGCUGAGAAGGGUGAGGACCAAGAAAAUAAUGAGAUUAAAAUGACUUGACCCAAGCAAGCUAUAGAUAAUGUGAAGGCAGCAGGCAACAAAGAGCACAGUCAAGAGCACUGGGUCAGGAAACUGUUAUUCACGUAACUAUAGGGCAUCGUUCAGCUGCUGGGAAAGAAACCUAAAGAACUUCGGUCUUCUGGAGUCCUCCGCUCCUUGCUUUUUCCUGUUUGAUCCUUGCAGGCAGGGGUAUUGCUAGGUUUUUUGCCUCCAAAUCCUCAAACCUGAAGACUCACCCUAAAACAUAAUAAAGAUUACAUAAAUGCUUA
This 3590-nucleotide small RNA is filed under the name Pongo abelii (Sumatran orangutan). Its description in RNAcentral is "retained intron". The record is from RNAcentral. Lineage: Eukaryota; Metazoa; Chordata; Mammalia; Primates; Hominidae.